UUCUCAUUAAUUUUCAAAGAUUUCUAUACCAGUGCUUGAAGAAUCACACCCACAAUGAAGAAAAUAAGGCAAAUGAUUCAGAUUAUAUUGUUAUUAAUAUUCCAAUAAAACUGUGGGGUAAUGUAGGAGGGCUGUUGCCCUCUUUCGUUAAAUAUAUAGACACAUGUUUGGAAUAAAACGGUGAUUCAAACUGUGACUUUCGGCCUUUAUGAAUGUUUCUGUUAGUUGAUAAACUAGUUUGAUUCACCCCCUCCCUCCCUCUAUUUUAUUUAUAAUACAUUGUCUUUUUUGAAUGCUUUCAAACUCUUACACCGUGUCCUAACCAGGUGUGAUGCAUUAAUUAAUCUUGAGAUAAAAGUUAUAAAACUUAGUAAAUCAGAAUUAGUUUUGUAACAGACAUGCGAUGAAUGACAGGACAUAUUGUGGUCACUUGGUUUCUAAGGCAGCGUCUAAAUGAAGAUUGCUUAUAUUAAUUAUACUGAUUUUUAUCAUUAGAAAUUUAAUUAUAGAUUAAGAAAAAAAAAAAAACUCUCACGUUCUCUCAUUUGAUAUUUCAUCCUUUUUCGGACACAGCCAAUCCCUGCGGAGUCCUUCCGUGUGUCCCCGCCCAUAGUGAAAUAUCAUUGGUCCAAAACCCUACUCCACAUAACCUCAAAAUUACAUCCAGUGCAAGAAACAUUUUAACCGCAAAUAUUUAAUUCCACAGAAGCUAUUACAGUAAUUGUUUCUAAAAGUGCCUGUCUGUGUGUUUUUAAAGGGCUCUCACAAAAAAAGUAAAGUUUUAUUUUAUUUCUCUUGCUAUCGUGACAGCAGGUAGUCGCUAGUGAGUUUACCGAUAUGUUUACAUGAAGUGAACGCAGUUUAAACGUUAUAGCUCCAUGUGCUGGUUACCUGUGUAUGUGUCAUGCCGUGCAGCUUUUUCCACUUUCAUUGUGGAUAGACAAAUUACUAGCGUCUCACCUUGUUAGGACACAAUUGUUGUGUUGAAUGCUACAGCUAAUCUCUUUGUAUGUUUGUAAUCGGAUGUAUCUAUUAUGUUUAACAAUUAAAUGUUUAAGCAUUCCUAGAAGGACAAGCACAGCCAUGUGCAAGCAUGAAGUGUCUCAUUUUGACACUAGGAGUCAGUAGAAGCAAGAAAGACAUCCCCACAUUCCCCGAAGAAAGGCC
Long non-coding RNA from Cyprinus carpio (common carp), 1167 nucleotides. NCBI's taxonomy places the organism in Eukaryota, Metazoa, Chordata, Actinopteri, Cypriniformes, Cyprinidae. The record is from Ensembl.